AGUAAAGCCUUCUCCAAAGAGGCGGGGGUCUCAGCCUGGUUCUUCCUUGUUCCUCGUCCUCUGAGGUAGCAACUGCCUCAUCUUUUCCAUCUAUGGAGUGUGGAAUAUGUGCCCUACUUCAUUCAGGAAUGUUGGACAAACCAGCUAUUUAGAGAGUGAAGGAGAGGAACUUCCGAGAGCAACCGGCCCCCAAGAGAAACCCAGGGACUCCUGCCCUUCGGCAGCUUUGUCCAUGUGCUGCUCACACCAAAAAGCACUCGAGGGUGACCUGCACCAAAAAUGCAUUGCCGUAGUCUGGGCACAGUGGAUCACGCCUGUAAUCCCAGCUCUUUGGGAGGCCAAGAGAAGUUAGAACACUUGAAAUUAGCUAAGCGAGAAUGCCAUCAGCAGUGCAUCGAUCUCAGCUGCAUCCAGGUGUAUCAGUUGAAUGGCAGAGGGACUAGAAAUUACAUUUCACGAAGAAAAUUUACAGAACUAAAGAUAUUUAGGCUGCAAAAGAAAAGACUAAGAGAACAGUAUACAAGCAUGGUGAAGAGUGAAAUCUCUACUGCUAAACUACAGAGGUAUCCGAUACAGGUUCUUAAGUGCUGAGGGACUUUGCAUAAAUUACUGAUGCUGUGGUUUUGGUUUUCUCCAGUGUAAAUAGUGUUGAAUACAGUAUCCAUAAAAUACCUGAACAGGUUGAGAAAGGAAAUGUGUAUAAAGUGGUUAAAAAGAGACUGACGCAAAGUAAGUGCUCUAUAAAAAUUGCCUGUAAAAAAUAAGACUACCACAAAUAAUGCUGUCUUUUUUAAUGUAUUUAUUAAAUAUAUGUGGUACUAAAUAAAUGCACAUAUACAUAAAUAUGUUUUAAAACACAUAUAAUAUGCCAAAAUACAUAUUAUUUUAAAAUAAACAAA
Molecule: long non-coding RNA, 899 nt
Filed under: Homo sapiens (human)
Lineage: Eukaryota; Metazoa; Chordata; Mammalia; Primates; Hominidae
Description: long intergenic non-protein coding RNA 1249
Source: RNAcentral